RNAcentral lists this ribosomal RNA (353 nucleotides) under uncultured bacterium. Its description in RNAcentral is "bacterial SSU rRNA". It matches the Rfam family "Bacterial small subunit ribosomal RNA", at positions 917 to 1271 of the family's 1533-position model. The record is from RNAcentral.
GGGCCCGCACAAGCGGUGGAGCAUGUGGUUUAAUUCGAUGAUACGCGAGGAACCUUACCAGGGCUUAAAUGUAAGUUGCAUGGAUCAGAGAUGAUCCUUUCUUCGGACUACUUACAAGGUGCUGCAUGGUUGUCGUCAGCUCGUGCCGUGAGGUGUCAGGUUAAGUCCUAUAACGAGCGCAACCCCUAUCGUUAGUUGCCAGCGGGUAAUGCCGGGUACUCUAGCGAGACUGCCAGUGCAAAACUGUGAGGAAGGUGGGGAUGACGUCAAAUCAUCACGGCCCUUACGUCCUGGGCUACACACGUGCUACAAUGGCCGGUACAGAGAGCAGCCACUUCGCGAGAAGGAGCGAA